Molecule: non-coding RNA, 45 nt
Filed under: Schistosoma margrebowiei
Lineage: Eukaryota; Metazoa; Platyhelminthes; Trematoda; Strigeidida; Schistosomatidae
Source: RNAcentral
AUCCAUUUGACGGGUGCCAAAUGGGACGAAACGCGAGUCCUGGAU